This is an RNA transcript of Daphnia pulex (common water flea), 7538 nucleotides long. It is a transcript of the gene named prisilkin-39-like, with no coding region annotated. The record is from RefSeq and is a predicted model, not a curated record. NCBI's taxonomy places the organism in Eukaryota, Metazoa, Arthropoda, Branchiopoda, Diplostraca, Daphniidae. The transcript is spliced from 13 exons.
CAUGCUGUUUAGCGGAUUUGAGGCCAGAGCCAGCCAUCAUAACCACAAGAUGCAUGCAAGUUUUUCUUGUGCCUUUUUGUGUUAACCUGUCGUCAGCAACAAUCUCAGGAUCAUCGCUUGCCAGAUAAACAGCAUCCCAAAUAGUGCAGUAUAGCAAACCCAGUUUGAACCAACCAAGAGCCCAAGGUAAUGUGAGGUGUAACAGUUUCACAAACAUUUAGUAUAAGAAAAGGGCACUGGGAACGCAGUUUAGCCAUGAGAAAUACCUAUGCACAUUUGAAAUCGUAUCAACACAAAAAGUGGUUGCCCAUGUAUAUGGGAGUCAAGGCAGAGAGUGGAGGGAAAACCCAGUGUCAUGCGCAGCUGCUUUCUCCGCGUGAUUAGAUGAUAACAAGUCGGACCGUGCCAGUUAGAUUUGUGGAUACCCUUUUUUCGUGCGCUGCCCCGUUCGAACAAAAUAAUCUUCCAUCUGUAAAAGAAAAGAGUUGACCGUUUGCUUUUUGACCUCAAGUUAUUAGCUAUAUUGAAAAUUGAGGAUAGGAACUGAGAUGGGCCAACGGGUGCGUAAUAGUCGUGUGGAGUUCAAUGUCCUUUGGUUAAAUAUUUUGAAAAUGCUAGACAGCCGACGACGCCAAACACCUUUGAUCUUAUAUUGGCCAUGGUAUAGAAUUAGACUCAAUGGCGACAAUCGAAGGGUGCACAGUACGUUCAACAUUUUUCGAUAAUGUUUCGGUUUAUUUUUCAAAUGAUUUAAAAAACACAUUGAAUAACAAUAGCAGACACGGAAUACCCAUUUUUCUGACUGAGAUGCGGAUCAAUCAAUCACAUGGGAAUCGUGUCGAAAAAUUGAAACAAACGAAACAAUUAAUAUCUUUCGCGAGAUUCACCGCUGUAACCACCGCCGUAACCACCGCCGUAUCCUUGGUUGUAAUAUCCUUGAUUUCCGUAGCCUCCGUAUCCUUGAUUACCAUACCCGCCGUAUUGUUGACCUAUUGGAUUCAAAAGAACACAACAAAUCAAAAACAAAUCGCGGCAAAAACAAAUACCGAAAACAAAUCAAAGAGUCAAAUAAUCCAUUUUCCAUUUGUUUCAAAUAUUACCAUAGCCUCCGCCUCCAAGGACUCCCCCCAAGAUGCCGCCGAGUUGGCGUCUCUCACGUUGGGGUGCGGCCUCGACGACGAACGCGGCCACAACGGCCAGCAGAACACAAAGACUCAACUGGAAAUGAAAAUUGGGAAAAGAAGAAAAGAUCAGCGACAUGCAGGUGACAAAUUAUCAAAUAAUCAAAUGGAUUAACGUCUUAGAAGAUAAUAUUUCUAAUAUUUAACUUGUACCAGGGCAGUGCGAUUCAUGUUGUUUGCAGAGUGUGUCGACUGAUGCCUAGCUACUCUUCCGUCCAAGUCUUUUAUACUUUUGCGGAGCAAUGCAGCAGCGGCGGAUGGCGGAUGGCGAAAUUUCAUCAUCAGAAAACAUCUACGAAGGCCCGUGAUCGCCGCCGCCGACACUAACGUACAUUAUACAAAGGCUUUCUGGAUGAGAGUUUCUUCUUCUUCUCCUAAACGUCAAGCGGAAAAAUCCAGUUUGAACAAGUGCACGAGCCCAAAAGGUAUUCAAGGUGUUACAUCAUGGCAAGGUGAAAAAUAUCGACGACGCACUAGCCAUGGAACAAAACAUCUAGACAUUUUGACUAACAUACAACUGAGUGGUGUUAUUUUUUACCUACAUGGGAAGUAAAGGGCAGAGUCAGUGGGAAAACCCAGUACCCGGUCGUGAGCUCGCUGCUUUCUACGUCAUUAACGAGUCAGCUGUAGGCUACAAUUUUAUUGGGUGCGUGUUGUUGUUGUUGUUGUUGGUUGGCAUCAAGUAGAGUAGAGUACGUACGGCCAAUGUUUUUUUCUUUGCCCUGUGAGCUAAAUAGGAGCCGGAAAAAUGAAAUGGAAAGAGGAAAAAACAGACCCGCAUCGUCAUUGUUUGCCGUUUUCUAGCGGUUUGCUGCUUGAUUGCAGUUCAUUCAAUUUUCACGGAAAAGAAUUGAGCGGUCCGUGCACAAGUCAUCGAGUUCAACAACCUUUGGAUUAUUGUGAAUAACGUGAGAUGAGCAUUUCUUUUUUUAUGAGACGUCUCGUAAUGGGUCUUCACCGCAAAGCCAUUCAUUUCCCGUUUAGUACACAUGCGAUGAGUUUUACGUCUAGUGACAAUUGCAGGAAAAUAUUUUGAUGGCGGAAAAUGUUCGAUUGCUGUUGCGCUAAUAACCUGCACCGAUGGCACAGCCAAUAAUGGCGCCAAACACCUUUUUUUUUUACAAGUGUUGCCAUUCGUUAUUGGUACUCGCUGACAUUGUUACUCGUUUGACUCUAAUAACAUUUACAACCGAAUCUUAUUUACAGCUCGUUCGAUCAGCUUGUCCAAAAACGAGCGCACUUGCAUAUAUUGCUGAUUGAUCGUCAAGUGAUUGAACAAGACUUUGUGUAUAUUACCCGUAUACUUAUUUUGGGUGAAUCGACAGGUAUUUUAUAAGAGGGGAAAUAAUCAAGUCAAUGUUACGCCGCCCAUCACAUUAUCGGCCGAGAUGGCCGGCGUGUUUACUAUUUUUUGAAGAGCAUCGAACACGGAAAUUCAAGGUGACCUUUUGCUUCGCAGCAGCCAGUCCGCUUCAUUCCGCCUGGAGCUGGUUAAUAACCACAACAACAACAAGAAGAAGAAGCAAUAACUCCAUCCACAGUAAAUGUGCUUCCUCCAUUUCGCCGCUCACGUUCUCCCAGCUUAUUUUUCUGACGCGCGUUGACUUUGGGCUAUUUCAUUUUUCAAGGGCUGUAACCUGCUCAUGUGUAGUUGUUACUAUUUCUUUUGUUCGGCGCCAAAGCUCCUCCUGUGUCCUCCAAGGCUUGAUACUGGGAUAGGCUGCUAUACUUUUAAUACGUCAAAUGGCAGACCUUGCGGGUUUUGCUGGAUGGAACGGCCAGGUAUAAAAGCCGAGGACGGAAGACCAACAACAGCACAGUCAGCCCAUUGGCACCCAACGAACAGCACGGAUUCAACCAUGUCUCGCAUCCUCUUGAUUGCCUUGUCCCUUGCCGUUUUCGUGGCUGUUUCUUACGGUCACGAAGGCCCAGCCGGACACACCCACCCUGAAGAUGCCGCUGUUGUUCCGCAGGGUGCGAAACCAGCUGCCGAAGCGGUUGCACUUAAACCGGCAACUGUAGGAGCAGCAGGAGCGGCAGGAUCGGCGGAAGGACGACCCAAGCGCCAAUUCGGACUCGGCUACUUGAUCGGAUCGGCCUUGGGAGGAGGCUACGGCUACGGCCGACCUUACGGCUACGGAGGCUACGGUGGAUAUGGUGGAUAUGGUGGAUAUGGAGGAUACGGACAUGGGCAUCACCAUCAUCACCACGGACACGGAUAUGGAUACGGAAGAUAAAUCAUUGAUCUAUGACUGCCCAACUGCCGAUGUCGACCUGUCGUAAAAACCUAUACUCAUCCGAAGACGAUUAUUCCCCCCCCCCUCCCCCCUUGCGUUACGUUUGGAUUGACAAGAUUUGACUUUUCUCUUUUGUUAUUUUCGCAUUUAACUGUUAUUCCAUCGUGUGCGUUUGUCUGUUAUUUGUUGAUUUUAAUACAUCGUACUUUCGUUUGGCUUCCAAGCAGAAACAAAACCAACAUUCAAAUUUGACGCCAAAAAUGCCAAAAUGUUUAUUUUUAUGUCUCGCGGCAACGGUGCAAACCAUUUCCAUGACAACGUCGAUCAUUCAACCAGACGGCCAGUCGCCAAACAGGUGACGUGCAUGUAACAAAUGACGGCGUGCGGCCUUGAAGGCACGGAUAUAUAAACCACGUUCUGUGGUCUAUGACGAAUAUCGACACAUCACUUUCGUGAUCGCCAGCCAACGCCACAGACGCCAUGUCUCGCAGUCACUUUUUCUUGAUCGCCCUGUCACUCGCCGUGGUGGUGGCGUAUUGUUCCGCGAUUCCGAUCGAAGUGGACGAGGUUGCUGCCAAUCCAGUAACCAUUGACGAAUCGUUAACUCCCAACGAACGACCGAAACGUCAAUUUCUUGCAGGACUCUUGAUUGGAAAAGCUCUCGGCGCUGGGUACGGUUACGGAUUGGGUCGGUCGGCUCAUUACGGAGGCUAUGGAUACCCCGGACACUACUACGGGAGACCUUACGGCUAUGGAUACGGAGGCCACCACUACUGGUAGAAAGAAGAUGGCCUAAUAUUUUUACGCACUUUGACGAAUUCCCAGUUGUCAUCGUUAUUGCCAUUAAGUAUAGACACGAUUAAUAUUAUUUUGAUGGCGUGGCACCAGCUUCACAUGCGUAUGUAUACCGUUUACUAACUUUGAUGGAAUUAUUGGACUGCAAUUCGAGUAAAUAUAAUUUUUUAUUCAUAUUUCGUAGUUAUAUCGUAAGAUUUUCAUUUCAAAUUUAACACUUUUAACAACAAGUCAGAGCUUAGUUAAGGGAGUUGUCUUGUGUAAGGCAAUUAGCAUUGCGUCACUCUUCAAAAACAACGACAAAGCAAAAAAAUAUUUUAAAAGUGAUUUGAAUGAAGGCACAGACAUCCACCAGUGUACCCGGAGACAGUUUCCCUUUUUCUUUUAACGUCAAAUUCCAUACAAGGGCAAGGUCAACAUCGUAAACAGUCAACACAUGCCGUUCAAGACUGAGAAAAACAAAUUUUUCAUCGAGGUGACCUUCGCUUUGAUGUAAUGUGAAGAAUAACAUUUUUACCGUCCAAAUUAAUGCGUGUCACAUGGCGGCGUUGGUCCGAUCCUUUGCAUUUGAUUCUCCAUCCUGUUGCCCUAGCGACACAUCGCCUGCAUGCUUAUGUUUUUGGUGUUGCAGCAGCACGGCAAGUAGACGGACGCGCCGAUACAAUCAACGGAUGCCUGCGUUCCUGUUUCACCGAGCGCGAUAGAUAGUCUGAGCAAGUUAAACUGGUUUAUUUUCCAAGAAUCAACUAACCAAACGAAAUUAUUUUUCAGCCUAUCGAGUCUACAAGGGAAAACCACAUCCAACAACACGUCGAAGAGUUUAUUUACCUUCUACCGCCUGCGGCUGCUAGAUACAAGAGACUAUGGAAAUAAGCUGCCAGCAUUUCCAUGUAUGGAUUUGGUUGGCUCGACAUAAAACAUUGAGUUAAAGUUUAAGAAAUAAUCAUUCCCAGGGAGAAGAGCCAAGAGUCAAUGGCCUUUUGUUUGAACAAUGGCCCUCAGUUUUUCCAUAUUUGUCUUUUCGGCUGACGAAUCAACCCGAGAUUCUCAUCAGGUGAAUACUUAAACAUGUACAUAUAUUUCUUUUUAAACUCUCCGCGUGACUUGGCGAGUUUGCCCGACUUGAACUGUCAAGGUCGAUGGUGUACAAGCGCCUUAUAAGCGCCGUAUAUAAAUGGAGCCCACCGUGACUCUGUCGACUUAUUCCUUUGUCAGUUUCGAUCCUCUCUAGACUUUUUCUGCGAGAUGCGUCGCCUCUCUUCGAUUGGCAUUUGCUGCGUUGUCUUGAUGGUGAUGUUGGCCGUGACUUUCGCCGACAAUGAAGCCGAUGACACUCGCCAAAAGAGACAAUUUGGCGGAGCACUUGGACUACUCAACGGAUUGGCUGCUGGUUAUGCUUACGGAUAUCCGUCGUAUGGAUUCGGACGCUAUCCUUAUUAUGGACCAUUUCCAUAUGGGCACAACACAUACCGUUACAACCCAUACCAUUAUGGCCAUCGGUUCGGCUAUGGUUGGGGAGGUUAUUAUUAAAAAGACGAGGUGUCGAUUCUAAUAAAUAUCACGGUGAAAUGAACUCUUGGAUUCUAUUAAUUGGUCUCUAUGCAAACUUCGGUAUUGGCUCAUUGUGUAUGUUCUAUAGACAAAAAUACACGAAACAUUUUUGGUAUGGUACCCUGUAUAUGUAAUAUUUUUAAUGCAAAGCAGUAAUGUUAUUUUUAAAGAUGUACAAUAUCACUAGAAUUGAAAAAUUCAAUGUUGUGUCUCAAAAAAAACUAAAUUGCGUUUUUGGGACUUGAAGUGUCAGAAGUGUCCAAUAGAUGACAUAGGUGUUCUUGUUUAUCAGGUGAUGGUGGGUUGUUGAGUUGAGUGGUUGUCAAAAGUUUUCUUUAAUUUUUCCAUGAAAGUUACCGAUGAAUUCAUCACUUCAAGUUUAUUUCUGUGCAACUUGUUUGUAAUGUGAUUUAGGCCUAUGUGUGUUGGAUCACCUUUCAUAUUUCUUAUUUAACGUGUAGGAAGGAACGCGAAAGGCAACAAGGAGCCUACUACCAUCAAUUGACAAUGACAGACAAGUAUUGUAUUCCUUAAGAAAUGCGUAACUUUUAUUUCAUAUUAUCUAUUAUUUGACAUAACAGUCCAUGGGUAAUCUUCAGGUUAAUUGCAACAACUUGGGAGAAGUCCUGUGAAAAGACGCAGGGCACAUCACCAGAUUUGUAUUUUUCUGAAUGUUCUACUCAAGUAGUAGAUUCAACAGGACUAAUUGUUUGAUGCCAAAGUUAGUUGGAAACUUGGAACCCUAACUCAAACACAGAUAACAUGUUGCGGCUGCCUUACACAGGCAGCAGGAACGAGGCUUACAGGCAGGAAAAUGAUUAUUUUCUUCACAAAAUUGUAAGUUGUAUUAUUUGUCUUGACCCUCCAUACUUGCUGUUAAUAGUAUAGAUUGUAAUGUUGAAUUAGUUAGGAGAAUGAUCCGAAAUAGCUAACUAAAGAAUUUGUGUGUUGGGAAAGCUGCUGCAGUAAUCUAGUGUCCAUCCCCACUUGAUUCAUUUCGUGCCAGCUAAUGAAGGGCGUGAUGAAUUCAAAUUUAGCUGCUGCGUGCUGUCUGCAAGCAAGCAAUCCAAUUGGCUGUCGCUAGGUGGCGCGAGUGUCUUCAGGGACCGAAUUCGGCCAUUUUGAUUCUUGACGCAGCAGAAGUGAGGUGCCGGUCGUGACGUUUCCCAAAAUGAAAAGGUGAUUUCAAUACCAAUUUGUCAAAUAAUCUAACUCGGACUUGAGUGACUGUUCAUUUUGCCGAAAUGUCGUGCCUCGUGUGUCUUGCUGCCUGUUCCCGUACGUCUCGUCCCAUGCAAAAGCAAACGUCCGCUGUUGGUUACCUUGUUGCAGCCUGAUGGUGUAAGAUGUGAUGAAGACUGAUUGAACUGUUGUAUGCAGCGUGUCCUGUGUUAUCCAGAAGUAGCUGUGCUGGCGGUCUCCUGAAGUAGCCUGAAGUUGCCAGUGAUAUCCGGGUUGCUGACUUAAAAUAUUUUUAACUGUUUUCAUUUGUGAUAUUUGCUUUGCAAGUGGUAUCUCAUGUUGAUGAACUGAAAAAUUUUUAUCCGUUUUUAUUUGUGGUUUUGCUCUGCCAGUGAUUUGCUGACUUGAAUUGGUUUUAUCUGUCGUCUUUUGCUCUUUUACUUGUGCAAUGUGCAGUAUACGAUUGUGGCAAUCUGACCCCAUGUCAGAUUUGACAUAGUCGACAACUGCUAGAUUAAAUUCCGGCUUUCUGCACCAACAAAAUAAUAACGGCACAUGUUAUUAUCGCGGUUGGGAAAGUCACAGGCCCCCC